AGCGUGCACUGGGCGCUCCUCGGCGCGUCUGCCCGGCCCGUCUCGGCUUUCCUUCUCCUUCCUCUAGUCCCAGCGUCACAACUCCGCCGACCUCCUCUGCCCUGAGAGCGCGUCCGGUGCGGGCGGAGUCGGACGGACUCUGGCUUCACGCCUCGCGCGGGCACACCUUCUCCCGGGCACUGAGGCCCAGUUAUUAGGGGAGGCAGAGUCCUUCUGGAGUUUGACCCUUGGAUUCCAUCCAGAGCAGCCUCCAAAAUGACACCUUUGAAGUUGUGUAUCGAGCUGGGGGAUGUAAAGGGAGGAGAAGAAAGAAGAUGAAGAGAUACCAGCCAGCCUUAAGGAGUGGACAUCCUGCCUGGUGAAACUGAACAAGACACCUACCGCAUAUGGAGUUUCGCUCUGUCGCCCAGGCUGGAGUGCAGUGGUGCCAUCUCGGCUCACCGCAACCUCCACCUCCAGGUUCAAGUGAUUCUCCUGCCUCAGCCUCUCAAGUAGCUGGGAUUACAGGAGCCCUCUCCCACCGCUCCUACACUGCUGGUAAAAGGCAGCCGCACUGCCUGCUGGAAGACCUGC
RNAcentral lists this long non-coding RNA (573 nucleotides) under Homo sapiens (human). Its description in RNAcentral is "non-protein coding lnc-UTP11-1:11". Lineage: Eukaryota; Metazoa; Chordata; Mammalia; Primates; Hominidae. The record is from RNAcentral.